GACGAACGCUGGCGGCGUGCCUAAUACAUGCAAGUCGAACGCUUCUUUCCUCCCGAGUGCUUGCCCUCAAUUGGAAAGAGGAGUGGCGGACGGGUGAGUAACACGUGGGUAACCUACCCAUCAGAGGGGGAUAACACUUGGAAACAGGUGCUAAUACCGCAUAACAGUUUAUGCCGCAUGGCAUAAGAGUGAAAGGCGCUUUCGGGUGUCGCUGAUGGAUGGACCCGCGGUGCAUUAGCUAGUUGGUGAGGUAACGGCUCACCAAGGCCACGAUGCAUAGCCGACCUGAGAGGGUGAUCGGCCACACUGGGACUGAGACACGGCCCAGACUCCUACGGGAGGCAGCAGUAGGGAAUCUUCGGCAAUGGACGAAAGUCUGACCGAGCAACGCCGCGUGAGUGAAGAAGGUUUUCGGAUCGUAAAACUCUGUUGUUAGAGAAGAACAAGGACGUUAGUACCUGAACGUCCCCUGACGGUAUCUAACCAGAAAGCCACGGCUAACUACGUG
This 508-nucleotide ribosomal RNA is filed under the name uncultured bacterium. RNAcentral's name for it is "partial 16S ribosomal RNA". It matches the Rfam family "Bacterial small subunit ribosomal RNA", at positions 28 to 507 of the family's 1533-position model. The record is from RNAcentral.